UCCGGUGUAGCUCAAUGGUAGAGCAGCUGACUGUUAAUCAGCGGGUUGCAGGUUCGAGUCCUGCCGCCGGAG
RNAcentral lists this transfer RNA (72 nucleotides) under Patescibacteria group bacterium. RNAcentral describes it as "tRNA-Asn". It matches the Rfam family "tRNA". From Rfam's summary of the family: Transfer RNA (tRNA) molecules are approximately 80 nucleotides in length. Their secondary structure includes four short double-helical elements and three loops (D, anti-codon, and T loops). The record is from RNAcentral.